This 53-nucleotide transfer RNA is filed under the name Oncicola luehei. Its description in RNAcentral is "tRNA-Thr". Lineage: Eukaryota; Metazoa; Acanthocephala; Archiacanthocephala; Oligacanthorhynchida; Oligacanthorhynchidae. The record is from RNAcentral.
UAAUUUGAAGUUAAAUAAGGCUUAUAGCUUGUUACGGUGAUUUGGUGGAUUAU